RNAcentral lists this ribosomal RNA (577 nucleotides) under uncultured bacterium. RNAcentral describes it as "partial 16S ribosomal RNA". It matches the Rfam family "Bacterial small subunit ribosomal RNA", at positions 355 to 923 of the family's 1533-position model. The record is from RNAcentral.
UGGGGAAUUUUGGACAAUGGGCGAAAGCCUGAUCCAGCAAUGCCGCGUGUGUGAAGAAGGCCUUCGGGUUGUAAAGCACUUUUGUCCGGAAAGAAAUCCUUGGCUCUAAUACAGUCGGGGGAUGACGGUACCGGAAGAAUAAGCACCGGCUAACUACGUGCCAGCAGCCGCGGUAAUACGUAGGGUGCAAGCGUUAAUCGGAAUUACUGGGCGUAAAGCGUGCGCAGGCGGUUUGCUAAGACCGAUGUGAAAUCCCCGGGCUCAACCUGGGAACUGCAUUGGUGACUGGCAGGCUAGAGUAUGGCAGAGGGGGGUAGAAUUCCACGUGUAGCAGUGAAAUGCGUAGAGAUGUGGAGGAAUACCGAUGGCGAAGGCAGCCCCCUGGGCCAAAUACUGACGCUCAUGCACGAAAGCGUGGGGAGCAAACAGGAUUAGAUACCCUGGUAGUCCACGCCCUAAACGAUGUCAACUAGUUGUUGGGGAUUCAUUUCCUUAGUAACGUAGCUAACGCGUGAAGUUGACCGCCUGGGGAGUACGGUCGCAAAGAUUAAAACUUAAAGGAAUUGACGGGGUCAUA